ACCAGUUGCUUAGGGGUGUAGUAUUUGAAUGUGAUGUUAAAAUACAAAGACAUUUGUAUGUCUCCCUUCUCUCGCUUCUGCUCUGAGUUGAGGCUUCCGUUUGAAAGUGCUGAGUUUCUAACGUCGCCUACUCUGAGGCCCCAAGGCAGGUUUUUGGGCUUUCCUUCCUGCCAGGACAUUUCCAGGAAAUGCACCACUGUUUCUUGCUUGUGUUAGAAACGUGUGAAAGAAUUAGUCUGAAAAGUCUUUGCAACGUCUAGUUUCUCCCUCUCCUUUUCUUCUCUCUCUCUUCGUCUCUCUCCCUCCCCUUCCCUCCUCCCUCCCACUCCCCCUCCCCCUCCCUCCCCUCGCAGAGCCGCAGGAAAAGAAGAAUGUCGGCUUCGACUGCCAUCUUUUGGGGAUUUGGAAAAACGACUCGGUAGGAAACGGAGGGAGGCGGAGGCGCGGGGGGUGGGGGGAACCCCCUUAUUAUCCUGUGUCGGAACUGGCUCCCUUAAUCUGAUGCUUAAAUAUUUGAUGUGGAAAAAUUACCCAUAAAAUUAGUUACUAACAAUUUCAAAUUGAAAUCACUUAUCGAAUUAUAAACGCAUUAAAGCUGUAUGGAUGGUAUUAGGAGUUCCUCGGGAGGCAGCGGGUGUCUCCUUGCAGUGCGCCCGGCCGGCGAGUUUCGCCCCGGGGAGAGGCACCCCCGCGGAGCCCGGGGAGGACUGCGGGCAGGCCGGCGCGGCGCUCGGGCGCGGGGUCCGGGCCUGGGGGACCUCGCCUGCGGGACCUAGAGCGCGGCCAGGCCUGGACUGAGGCUCCGGCGAGCUGGGCUGGCGGCGGGGGGGGGGGGGGGGGGGGGGGGGGGGGGGGGGGGGAGGAGGGAGGGGAAGGAGCGGCGGUGGGAGGCUCCGACCCCAGGGCACAGGCACCUACCAGAAAACUUCGUAGUCAACUCGAAAGCUUCUGAAAAGGAAAAACGCGAGCCCAACCCGGCCCCUCCCGCGCGCGUCUCCCACGCGGCACGCAGAUUUUGCGCUCCGGAUCGGUUGCUGUGUGCAGCGCCCCCCCAAGUCUGCAUGUCAGGGCGGGAGGCGAGACGCCGGUGGCCCGCUGCUGGGCCGACCUCCGCGGGAGAAACUCCAGCGGGCCGCCGCGGAAGCGGCCAGGAGUCCAGAUUAGAACGCCGUGGCCCCCUGCGUCCUACAGUGCACAGGGUCCUGGCCUGGACCGCGUGCUUGUGAGGACGGGUCUUUGCUCAGAGCCCAGGGCACUUUGGGGGUUGGGGGGGCGGCUCCGGCACCUCCAGUAGCUUCCUAUAUCCUCCCCACCGCAACAAGAAAGUCAAGUGUAAGGGGACUGCUGACUUCGUCCCUGGAGACGAGGCGACCCCGGGUCUCCGCAGAAGGUUGUGGAAAGAUAUCUCCUGGGGCGCUCUGGACCCCCUUCCCUUGGAACCGCUCGGGUGUGCUUUGUGGUGGACUAGAGGCUUCUUGAUGGAUUCUGUUCCCGAGCCCCUGCGCGGCUCUGGGAGCGCGGCUCCGAGAGCUUGGGGCUCGGAGGGCACUUGGGACCCGGGCAGCGACCGCCAGGCGGGUCGUGAGUGCCAGGGUCGGGGCCCGCAGCAAGGGGGCUUGGGCUGCACCCCGACGCCUUAGGCAGGAGCUCCUCGGGGAAGCUUUAAAGUCUCUGCAAACUUUCCCUUCCAUUUUAGGAUCCCAGCAGGCCCUUGGCCCAUGUGAACGCACUAAAAACAUGACUUGAUUCAAGCUCCGGGGUGGGAGCUUGAACGCCGGGUGGAGUGGCAUGGAACUGGGUAGUGAUGUGCCCCGCUUGGCCUGGCUGGCAUUUCCCCCUCGUCUCACGCCCCUCUCCCGUGCCAUCCCGCACCCACUUGACUGUUAGAAGGUCCGCUGCGUUCAGGGUGGCCAGGUGCAGUUUACAGGAGGUUGGGAAUCCCAGAGCCGAGGAAAGAGCGGCGAGGGAGAAACAGCGGGAGAUCGCCUUUCAAGGGAGGCGGCUGCUGGCGGGGAGCGGCGAGAGUGAGUGAGUGUGUGUGUGUGUGUGUGUGUGUGUGUCACUUUUUGGCCCAAUCUGCCCGCCAACGCGUCUGUAACAUUCUCUCCCAAGGCGGAGCUGAAAGGAAAAACAAACAACAUAUUGAGCAAUCAGUUCGCCAACAUUUGAGGUUCUAAGAGUUUUUGCCCUAAAAACGAGUACCCCGGGGUCUUGGCGGGGAGAUGAAGGACGUUUAGGGUCUCGGUUCUCGCGGGCCUCGCCCCGAAGUGGCCCCUCCGCGCGCUGCCCCCUGCCAGCCAGGCGCUCUCAGCCCACUGUGGGGGAAAGCCAGGCGGUGAAGCCCUGGAGAAAAGGGAUUUAGUUUUAAGCCAGUCUCCCAUCGAUCGAGUCGGUAAUUUCUACCCCUGCCCACUCGCAGACACACUCACCUCUACCCUAAAGCAUUAAGUUCAUUACGCGAGCAAUGAUCUUAAUCUCCAGGCGGAAAACGAGUCCCGGGACCUCGCGGAUUCGGGAAGCAGUGAAUAAAGUCACCUGUUCACGCAGCAGCGCUGGCGGCUCGUCGGGGCGGGGGCCUCGAGUGGCAAGCAAGGCAAGCUGCGCAGGGGUUCCUCACUCCGCGCUUGGGCGUGCCCGGCAGGGGUCAGGAACCCUGUGUCUGCUUUCUUCGGGUUGGCGACCUUCUCGAAGGGUGGGAUUGCGCUCGCAAGCUUUCCUCCACCCCUUCCUUAUUCUUUUCAUCUUGGGCCCCCUCACACCUCUGCGCUCCCUAUCUUCUCCCUUGCCCCAAAGUGGCGAGCUCCCCUUCUUCACGGAAGGUCCCGAGGCUGUCACCCCCAUCCCACCACUACUCCCCGCAGCCCUCAGGUCCCCAAACUGCAGUCCUCCGCUCUUCCGCGCCCGCUUCCUUCACCCACCAACUUGGACAUGGGUGGGUGGGGAACGCUCAGCGAGGCCCUCUUGAAGUCACUUGCUGAGGGUACCCUGGGGCUUUGAACAACCAGAUUCCUCGAUCUAGGGGAGAUCCCUGCGUCCAUUGAUAAUUCCAAUUCAAAGAAACCCUGCAAAGCUCAAAGCUGCAAACACCCCUAGCAGACGCCGGCUCCCCAUCGACCCCCACCGCACCCCCGCCACCUUUGCUUUGAGCAGCGUCUGGCACCGCAGGGAGAUGGAGGCGAGCCACGCGCCCCGUCCUUGCUGGCCGGCCCACGAGGCGCCAGCUUGUUGUGGAGACUCAGUUUCCACUGGACAGUCGUGAAAGCGGGGAAAACACAAUGCAGUGGCUAUGUAAACCCACGUUCCCGCACUGCUAACCCGACCCCAAUCUGAUUUCCAAGAGGUGCAUUUUCAGGUAGUCCUAAACUGUGAACAGCGAGCUUUGUGUGUUAUCUAAUGGGGGUGGGGAUGGGAGAGAAGGAGACUCCCACCGCCCGCUCCAGGCUUUAAUGUCUGAAAUAACGAAAAGCCUGUGUGGCAGCUGCUGCUGGAGCCAAAACUAACUCUUUGGAAGACGGAAAAGAGUGAAAGGCAAAGAAAGACUGUUCAUUUUUUUUCCUUUGGUGCCGUUUGGGAUGUCAUCUGUUUCCUUGGCGACUGUGUUCAGCCCCCGGAGCCCCUGGGCUCCUGGAUUGUUAGGGGGGAAAAAGCAUGCUAUUUCUGCACCGUCAUUUAUCACUGUCAGCGCAUAAUGAUUCCCCUUGCAGCCCCUUAUUGAUGUUUGUAAUUGCAUUAUCUCAUAAAGGAGGAUGAUCAAUGAAACCGAGCCGUGCAUUCUGGGGUCAGAGGAAGCCAAAGUACUGUUUGUCCCCUUUAAUACAACAAGUACUCAUUAUCUUUAGGUCUGCAUUCAAAAAAUGAUCUGAUCUGGGGCUGACCCUGUCGGACAUCCCAACACUUUUUAAAACGCGGUUUGUGUAACCUUUUGCUUAAAUGCUAAAUCAAGUACCUGUCUUGCAUUUCAACGAAACAAGAUGCUAAAACUGAAUGGGAAAAGCGUUUCUUCCUUUCUUUUUCUUCCUUUCCUUUCUUUUUCUUUCUUUCUUUCUUUUUCUUUCUGGGAGGGGUGCGAUCAUCUGUAGCCUCACGCGAUUUUACACUGCAACUGCUUAGUGAUAUAAUGUAGAAAAAGCAGCGCCCAACAGCAAGGGACCCAACUCAUCUAAUGCAUAAAAAAUUGGGGGAUGCGUGGGUAAAAAGGUAUCUGGGAGCAUUUAACAAGGUCGGUACUAAAAGAUCAGAAUAAAACCACAUCCGGUUUAAUUAAUAAGAGCUAUAAACUGAGAUAAUUCCCCAUGAUUCUGCCCUUGCUUCUCUCUUUUACAGAGUCAUAUCUCCUCGGUUUAGAUAAAUGACUUUUGUGCCUGUUCGAUUCUCACAACAACAAUAACUAAAUCAGUUGCACAUUCUGUAUCUAAAACCGUCUACAAACUCCAGCAAAUAAAAAGAAGUUCAUUUGUCUAUUAAGGGAAGUGUUUAGUUGAGCAGAAGUGUCCCAGUAACAUUGAAUGGAGUUCAUGUAAUCCCAUGAAAAUCAAGUCAUCUUGUUGCAAGAAGUAAGUGGAAAAAAUACAAAGGAGGAAAGGUCCAAGUGUAAUUUUAAACUAAAUGCAUUAUUGGACUGUCACAGUGAAAACGUGAUGUGUGGCUGGGAUGGAGGGAGUGGACACCAACUUAGUUCACCUUUAACUUAAAGAUUUUAGAAAGGAAACAAGUAUCCCAGGUUUGGCUAUCAUUUUAAUUUGUGGAAAGGAGAAAUGGAGAUAAUUCUGGUUCAUCACUUUGAUAAAUUAGGGUGAAUAACUCCUUCAAAGAUAAAAUUAAAGGAAGAGCUUAUUUUAAAUGUUGCAAGGCGGUAUUACCAAAAAGAAAAGUUCCCAAUCUUUUGAAGAUGAAUUCGCCUUAUGUCAAUAACUACCAAGAAAAGAAAGAAAGAAAAAGGGAAGAAGGAAGGAAAGAAAAGCCUAAAUCCAUGUGUUUAUUUUAAAAGUUCUACAAAUAAUUUUUAAAUCAACAGUAUAAAUCAACGUUUUAAAUAAAAAGGUCUGAAUGAAAAGCCUUCACCAUAUGAGAAAAUGAAUAGCUGAAUAAAAUAGAGUGUUCCCAUAAUUUGACACCUUGACCUAAAAACUUAAAUCGAAUGAUAACAGCAAGAAAAGGCUGAAAUAUUCCCACUUGGAAAGAGAACUUUAAUGAUAAAGCUAAGAGUAUUUUCAACUGUGUGAAACUAUCACUUAAUUUUUCUCUAGAAGGCAAGUUCUUCUAAAAAGUAUUAUUUUCCAGGAAUUCUGUCAAAUCACUUUGAAAUAAUAUAUGUUUUGUAUUAUUUAAAUAUUCUGGCACUUUCCUUCUUUGAAAGUGCUCAGAGUGAAAUGGAUAUGCAGCGGCACAUAUAUUUAAUAUAAAUGGUAUCUUGUUGUUAACAUAAAAUAUUAAAGGGAAAAUAAAACUUUGGGCUUUGUCAGUUGAGAUAGAAUUUUUUAGCAUAAUACCCCUUUUCAGAACACACAAAUGAAAUUCCUUGAUUUUAACCAAUCAACACAAGUCUUUCUCUUAUUUGGUUGGGGAUCUGGCAUCCUGUACGUUUUCUAUUUUUAAUAUUUAGUGUUAUAGCCCACGGUUAAAAUAAUGAAAAAUUAGUCUCGUUUCAGAAAUUAUUUAUUUAUGGAACGAACAUGAUUAAAACAUAAACACACACACAAACUGCAGCUGCAACAGAAAAAAAAAACCUGAUUUACGGUUAUUAAAUCUUUGAUCGCCAUGUUAAUGUUUCUUUUUCUACCUUUCAUUUGCAUUUUAAUCUAUCGAAUCUUUACAAUUUUGCUGCCUCCUAUUUCAGUGAUGGAUUACAGAUCUGAAAUAAGAAAAACCAAGCCUUAGCUUUUCUUUUUCCUUUCUUUUCUUCGCUUUUUUUUUUUGUUUGUUGUUGUUUUUCUCUUUCCACCCCCACCCCUUUCCCCCGGGUGGAUUUCUGAAACUUUCUCUCAAUGCUAAUGUAGACAGGACAAAUUAAUUCUGCUCUUUUAAAUGUCAACGAUAUAAAUAAAAAAUGCUUUCUGUCCCAAACGUGAAUAUUUCCCAGCCGCUUGUUUUCGAGUGGUAAAAGACCAUCCCAGCAAAACGCAAUUAACAGCGAACUACACACACUCCGCGGCGUGGGUUUUGUAAAGGACGUGUUGUGAGUGAGUAAAGAAAGGUGAGAAGUUCAUCGUCCCUUCACCGCCAGUAGCCUGGCCUCGCUCUCACACACACUCAGAUUUGGUCCGGAGUUCUAUCUGUGAUCUAAGUCGAACAAACAAAAACAAGCCUGGUGGGGGCUUGCUGUGGUUAAGUUGAUUUCUUGAGACAGGCAGUCUAAAGACAAAAGGGGAAGCGACGCAGGUCUGUUUGUUUUCUUUCCCCGGCUUACCACUGCCCCUUUGCCCCUUUCUCCCCCGAACCCUCCCCACUGCCCCUCCCCCCCUCCCCCCCGAUUUCUCCCGCUCGGCGGCUAGGAAGGUCAUUUGCUGACCGCUUUGCCUGGACGCGUCACUUUUCGCGCGGGCGUGAAAGCAAGCGUGGAGGUGCUUUGGGCAGGCGCCGGCCGGACGCAGGCUGGGUUCAUUCUCCCAGCGGGGCUGAGGGCCCCUGGGGGUCUGCAAGGCUCGGGCCCCGGACAGAUAGCUCCUCCCGCCCGGCUGGGGGUCGGGGGCUUGGGUGGGAGCGGGGUCCCCAACUGACGCACGGAGGAGGCCAGUCCCAGGUGCGAGAGCAGAGGUCGGGUGGGCGUGCGCGCAGACUCUCCCGCUAGCCCGCGCGUCUGGGACCCCGAAAGGAGCGCCCCUCACUUCGCCACCCCGACGUCUGCUCCCUGGGCCGGUCCCCCUCGGUGGGGUCGUAACGUCCGCAGACGCAGAGGAGCCAGCAGCUGAGCGAGGACCGACUUCUCAGGCGGGUCUAGGCUGCUGGCUCUCGCGUCCGCGUGUAGCGCGCGGUGCCUGGGUGGAGGGCGAGCCGGGAGAAGUCCGAGGGCUGGGACCCCCACCCCCGAAAUCCCUAAGUGGGCACACACACCAGCAGGAAUUAGGGUGAGGGCUGUGAGAGGUAGAGCAAGCCCGGGCAAUCUCUCCAACUGGGCCCUGGGACUCUGUGCGCACCCAGGGGCGUGCCCAGGGCGGGGGCACAGACCAUCUUCUCCGGACCCUGUCACCAGAGUGUGCGCUCCUCCCUUCCUCCUAGAGACCCCAUGGGUGGCUGCCGCAAGGGGGGCGAUUUUUAUUAACGUGGACGCACAAGGCUGUUAAAAUAGAGGGGGUAGGGAAGGCAUUUGAUCCGGGCCGACCCUUUGUCUUGAAGCAGAUUAGGCUGCCUAGAAAUAGGAGGAAAAACAGAAAGUCUAGACAGGAAAACUUAUUGUGUUCACAAAAUAUAAAAAUGAACCGAGCGGUCUGGUACCUCAAGGGGUGAAGAUAGAUCCUUGUAGACAAGUGCGGAGACAAGACUGGGAAGAUUUAAAGUGAAAGAAACGGCAGAUUAUUAAGAAAGUAAUAGUAAGGUGUCCCAUACACUACAGUUUUAUUGUUGGGUAGUAACUACCCGAUUUAUUUAUUGCCGGGGCUAUAUAAUAGAGAUAAUGACCACAAACUCAAGAUGAAUUCUUAGGCGCCCAGCUGGACAAUUCUUUUUUAUUUAAGAGAGCGAGUCUGAAAGGUGAGCCUCAUCUCCUCUCCUCCUUGAAGAUCCGUCUUGCUUUCUACCAUAUUAUAAGCAUGACAUGCAAAUAAAUAAGUGCUGCUGGGUUUGUGUGGGUAGGCCUGCAGGAUUUAUUUCAGGUAAGAGAGGAACAUACGCGGAAUAUGAAUUUGCACAGGAGCUGCGGAGUGAUUCCUUCCCUCUACUCCGCCGAGUUCUCCUGCUGAUCUCCCUCCCUUUCUGUGGGAGCAGAGAGCGUCCCCUGAUAAAAACAUUAAUGUGUCAUGUCUCAACUCCCUAUUCCUUGACAUAUAGGUCUGGGGAGGGAUGAGGGGCAAUGAAAAAUGCAAAAUACAUCCCCAAAGUAGGUUGACUUGCUGGGACUGCUAAACAGAUUCCUACCGACAAAGGGAAGGGUGAGUUUGUAAUUAUGAUUUACAGGAGGGGGGCGGCAUAGGAAGCAUGUUAAUAUCAUUUCGAAAUAUGCAAAACGGUGCAAAAGUUUGCUGUCCCGGAUCUGGUAUGGGUCCUCACCAGCUGGAUAGAUCCCAAGGGGAGCCUGCAGGCUCUUGGGACCUGUCCGCCUUUCUUGGCCCUCAGUUUCUCUUCCUGGAGCCGGAUAAACAAUCCUAUGGGCCCGUGAAGGAAUUACAGAUGACCUUGCUCGUUGACCGCCAAGGUCGGAAGGGAGCGGGCGGCCUCAGGUGUUGGCUCUGUCCGACGCAAUGGCUGCAAAGACAGUCACCGGCUGGCCUUUAACGAGGCGGCCUCCGAGAGCUUCUCCCCUGCCACCUGUGCUCUGCGACGUCAGGCAGACCCCGAGCUUGCCAACGUGAAGUCGGCAUCCUCUUCUGAUACUCUUUUUUUCCUAAUAUUCAGAAUAUAGUGUUUCAGUGUCACAAUAACCACUUAUAUUCAGAACUUCCUUUGAUCUAUGUUUGGCCAGGAAAAAAACAAAACAAAACAACAAAACACCUGACCGGGAACUGCAGAUGAAAAAGGGAGAGGAGCUCAGAGGAAACGGGAGGGGUGGCCAGGCGGGGUGAGCGAGAAAGGUGUGCUGGUCGGGGCUAGGUGGGGGAAGAUAGAGACCCACCGGCAGCAAGACCGGCGCGUGUGGUGGGGGAGGGGGUGAAGAAAGAAAGCAGAGAGUGAUCGCGGGAUGGAAGAGAAGAGGCUGUUUGUAAUUUGGUGGUUGGUAUGAGGGAUGAUAUUAUGAGGCUGAGGAGGAGGACAGUCCUCGUCAAUCUUUUACAACAUUGGUGUCGUUCAAGCACAACUUUAUCUUUGAACCAGAAUAUCUGUUUCAAUGAUUUCCAUAAGCACAUAAAUUAUAAUCUUCCGAGGCUUCAAUAUUUCUUUCUGUACUUUAUUAAGUGUUAUUGCAGAGGCCAUUUAUGAAGUGAAUGAUUCAACUUUUAAUCUUUUGAACAUUAAAGUGUAUUCCACUGAGUUUCCUUUUCCAAAUAAUCUAAAAUAACAAAAAGAAACUAAGCUCAUUACAUGAAAAAGUGACAAGCCUUUUGCUCUCAGCCUGGCAAGUUGCCCUACGCACUUCAAAGGAUGAUAAACUAAUUGUUUCCAGAGUUUAUAAGUAAUUAAGCUAUUAUUCGGAGAAUUUAUGUAACAGUCUUAUUCACCAUAGAACUUUCUGGUUAGAAUAGCCAAAGAGGAGUCUUCAAAAAUACCAAGAUUUUAAUAAUUAAAAAGUCUGUCCUUAUUGAUCGUGAUGAAAACUUAUUUUAUUUUCAAAAGCAUUGAGAAAUGUAAACAAAUAUAGUUUUAUUCCAGAGUAUAUGAUCGGUGGAGGUCAUUAUGUAUAAUUAAUGCCGAAAAGAAAAUGAACAUGUAAUGACUUCCAAAGAUUAAAACAUCUGUAACUAUCAAGUUUUUAAAAGUUAAUUUUUAAAAUCAUUCAGCUUGAUUCGUCUAAAUAUGUCUGAUAGGGAAAAAAAUAUAUAUGCCCCCUUUAGAAUUCCAUAUGGAAAGUUUAAAAACUUAAACAUAAUUUUAGUAUUUUAAAUCAACUUUUGGUACCUAGACAAUAAGAAUUAAUGCCCAGGAAUGUUAAGUGCUUGGUUUCUCUGAUUUUGCAACAGAGAAAUAUACUUAUUCACCCUUAGAUUAAAAUAAAGGGAAUACUUGAAAAAUCUUUUCAAAUACAUUAAAUUCAAACAUUAUUUCUACAUUUCAACUCAUGUUUGUCAUUUUUAAAUAAGAAGAUUUCUCCUAAAUGAAACAGUGUUCAUUAAGGGAAAAGUAAGAGCUAAGAGGAAGUGAUGAAUUGUUUUGUAAAUUUCAGCAACCUAUAUGACACUUUAGUUUAAUAGACAUGUUUAUAUAUGUAACAAUGUACUAUUUUAAUUUAUUUUUCCCCAUCAAGAUGGUAUCACUUCUGCUUUUUUGUUUUUGGAAAAUGCCUGUUUUGUUGUCAAAUGAAGAAUUUAGAAAUUAAUACAAUUUUCAUGUUAAAAGGAAACAUCUUUGAAGAGUAAUACUGAGGUAUAAAUGUGAAAAUCCAAGGAAAUGCCUGUAGAAGCUUGUUUGAAGUAAGAUAAAUUUUCUGGAAGUUAUCUGCAAAAAAUUAAGAGUAUGAGCUGAUUCAAUAUCCAUUCCCUUUACCACAAAAAAGUGGGAAUUGGCUAUAACAGUCAUUACAAGGAAUGGAGUCUCAGCAUAGAAAGGAAUAUUUAAGUCCUAUCUAUUUGUUCCAAGAAAAUUCCUCCAAAGCAAGCCUGGAGUUGACUGGAAAUUGUAUAUAAAAUGUUCAGCUUGAUUCAGGGUCAGUGUUGUUUUGUGGAAUUUAUGUAUACUGGCAAUUUAGAUCUGUCAUUGUGUCACAAUGUCUGACUCAAUGUCUGUUGUACUGUUUCUUUAUUCUAAUAGAGCAACAUUAUUAAAAACAAAAACUCAAAGCAACCUGGUUAGUAGUAAUGUGGUCCCAUUGUCUAACACCAUGCAGUAAUUGACCUUCUGGACACCAGGCACACUUGGAUUUGCUUUAGGACACUUAGCUGUUUAAAAUGAGUUCAUUACAGAAAGACAAUGGUGACUUUGUUGCAACUGGUACCUGUGGUAUUUCAUACAACACAUGGGCCACAUCUUGCCAAGACAGCCACCACCAUGAUUCACACCAGAGCAGGAAGUCAACUCUAGGCACAUUUUUUUUUUUCUUUUGAGAGAGAGAGAGAGAGAGCAAGCAAGAAGGCAUGGGGCAAAGGGAGAGGGAGAGAGAGAAUCUUAAGCAGGCUCCAUACCCAGUGUGCAGUGGGACUUGGGGCUUUAUCUUACAAACGUGAGAUCAUGACCUGAACUGAAAUCAAGAGUCGGACGCUUAGCUGACUGAGCCACCCAGAUGCCCCUAGGCACCUUUUAUAAUAUGAAAUAUGCUAUUCUGAUCAAGGAUGAAUUCUUUUUUGCACAUCCCUCUGCAAUCUUAAGGGGAUGAUUAGAAGCCUCUUUUCUUGUUUCCUUGAAGUAAAAAUAUUGCCAUAUUAAGGGAUGCCACAGUGACUUUAUGUUAAAGUGUAAUGGUUAUGGAUUUUAUGGUAUGUUUAAUUCAAUUUGUCCAUAAUAAUACAGUCCAGAUAGAGAUAUACUAUUGUUCACUACCUGUACUCAAGUUGAAAAGGGUCUUCUCAUGGAAAGACUUCGUGGUGGUAGGAGGUGGUGCUAAGUCAGUGACCAGACUUCCUGGCACGCUAUUUGGUAAUCCUGACUCUGUCACUAGAACAUGAUGUAAUUUAUCUUCAAUGGAUCUUUUUUCCUAAUCUCUAAAUGAUAUUAAUAUAUUUCUGCUUUGUAAAUCACUUUACAUUGUAGCAUGUGGUAAGGAACUGGUUUACAUUCUAUUGAACAUAAUAAUAAAGUGCCUCUCUCAAAAAGCUCCAGACUUUUUCCAGAGGAGCCCUGACUCAUCAGGGGUGUUCCUCUGUCAUCAAAGUUCUAAGGGCCUCUUAGCAUUCUGAGAUGUUUUCCUUUGAUUUUUCCCUGUCUGGCCACCAGAAGUAAAAUGACAGUUCCUUAUUGUUCCAAAGAAUUUGCUGAGAAGAAUUAAUAUAUUUAUUGAUUUAAGUUGCUUCACAGAAAUAAAAAGUGACUUGUCCCCCAAUGAUUGGACUGUGAUCCCAUAGCCUGAAAGACUCCAAAGAGUAAAUAAAGCCCAACUACUAGGGCCUUCCUCUUUAGUGAAAAAAGUAAAUCCACAGAUAUACUAGUUUUCAUUUAAAUUCUGUGUUAUUCUGGUCAGGAUCUUGCCUUACAUUUUCAUAUAUUUCUAGCAUAGACUCUUUUUUAAGAAUGAAAAAAGUUGUGUGUGUGUGUGUGUGUGUGUGAGAGAGAGAGAGAGAGAGAGAGAGAGAGAGAGAAAAUCUUGAGCACCCAAUGUACCCUGAGCAGUGAGCAGAACAGUGGGGGUGCUGGAAUUAACAGGACAUUGUCUGUGCCCUCAGAAGCUCAUUGAGGGGUGGAACUGAUAAGAAAACCAUAAUCCCCACCCCUAGGAGUAUGCACAGGUGCUGUGGGAACACAAAAGUUAAACCAACAACCUGGAGAAAGGGAGCCCCCCAGAGCCUUUGUGACAGGCUGGGUAAGAAGAAGUAGAGAUCAGGACAUGUUUUUAUAUCUGAGUUUGGCCAAGAAAGCAGAAGCCAUUCUGAGUGCAUACAAGGGAAAGAUUUUAAUGCUGGGAAUUGGUUAUACAAUAGACAGAAGAGGCUGUGAAGGCAACCAGGUGGCAGGGAGGGACCAAAAGCUGAGCACUCACAAGAAGCUGCUGUCCCACAUUAACUAAAGGGACAGAGGGAACAGGUGAGUUGCCAGCCUCCACAUGUCAGAGUCACCUGGUAGAAGAUAUGACCAGGCAGGCAUGCCUAGUGGAUUGGGAGCUAUGGAGGAGAUAGGAAAGGGAAAAAUAAUUCUGGAGUGUUUUCUUUCACUCUCUAAUCUGUCAGCCGUACCUCCUUUUGGUGAAAGCCAGCAAGAAACUAGCUGACAAAGAACCUGGGAAACACAAGAUCAAGGUCCCCAUCCUGCCAGGAAUAGCUUUGAAGGCAAACAGUUCCAGGAGCAACACAGCUUUCUAAACAGGUGUUAUGCUCCAGGCAUUCUUCUUACUUUAUUUUUCCAAAUGAAAAGCAUUAUUGUUAAUUUCUGAGUUUAUUUGUUUGAGAAUGUUGAAAAGGGCACUGAGUUGGAAGAGAAAAUGGCUUACUUAAAAAUGGCAAGAUUGCUAGUGUGGCUGGAGUAAAGGAGCAGGAGGAGGACAUUGUAGGCAUGAGUUGAAAAUCAUAAAGGGGUGCCUGGGUGGCUCAGUUGUUUCAGGUCAGAUCAUGAUCUCACAGUUCAUGAAUUCGAGCCCUGCAUCAGGCUCACUGCUGUUGAGCACAGAGCCCACUUCAGAUCCUCUGUCACCCUCAUUCUGUGCCCCUCUCCCACUCAUGCUCUCUCUCUCUCUCUCUCUCUCUCAAAAAUGAAUAAACAUUUUUAAAAAAUAAAGAAAAUCAUAACAGUUAACCAUAAAAUGACCAGUGGCAUCUGUAACAGCCUGACUUGUUAGCAACCAUUAACCUCCAGAUGCGGGGUUUUCCUACAAAGAAGCACAGGCAGCCUCCUUGACCACCUUCAGUUAAUUUAUACUGUUAUUUCAAUCAGCCCCCAAACCAGUGGGGACACUGAUCCAGCCAUUUUCAUGAACGUAUUAGAAAUUGUUCACCAGCUCCAAGGAGACAUUCUUGGGGCCGCUUCAGUGUUCAGAGGGCUAACUCCAAGAUUUUCUCUACUCCCACAUAGUAGGAAUAGCUUGGUCCAUGACCUUGCAGAUGUCAACCUUAUGAAUGACAGUUUGAAGCAGGUGGGUCUAGACUAGGGAGUUAAGAAACCAGCCAGGAGACUUGUAAGGACAGGUGGGACCAAGAGGAGAGAGUAAGAAAAGGUAAUCAGGAGACAGGAGGCUAGGGGGGUGAGGCAUAAAGAGAAGAUGAAAACAAUGACAUGAUGAUUUGUGGUCUGGAAAACUAGGCGCAUUGUGGUUCCAUUUGCUGGGACAGUAACUUUAGAAGAAGGGACAUAUUAGAAAGAUGAAAACUUUGCUUUAGGUUUUUUGAGUUUAAGAUACUUAAUGGGUUAUCAAGAUAGAGAUGCUCAUUAAGAGGAUCAAUACAAAUAAAUACAUACAAAUAAAUACAUACAAAUAAAUAAAUAAAAUACAAUACUAAAAUCUGUAUUUUAGUAGAGGUCCAGAGAUAAAAAUUUGGGAGGAACUGCUGGAGUACAUGAGGUCACUCAGGAUCUCAUUCGAAAAGUUUAUGGUUGCAAUGAGAUAUCAUCUCACGCCUAUUAGUAUGGCCAGCCGAGACAAGAAAUAACCAGUGUUAGUGAGAGGGUGGAAAGAAGGGAACCCUUGUGCUCCGUCUAUGGGAAAGUAAAUUGGUGCGGCCACUAGGGAAAACAGUGCGGAGGUUCCUCAAAAGGCUAAAAAUAGAACUACCAUAUGACCCAACAAUUUUACUUCUGGAUAUUUAUCUGCAGAAAACAAAAACACUAACUCAAAAAAAUAUCUGCACCCCCAUGUUCACUGCAACAUUAUUUAUAAUAGCUAAGACCUGGAAGCAACCUAAGUGUCCAAUGGCAGAUGAAUGGAUAAUGAAGAUGUAUAUAGUGGAAUACUACUCAGCCAUGAAAAAGAAUGUAAUUCUACUAUUUUACACAAUAUGGGUGGACCUUAAGGGCAUUACGCUAAGUGAAAUAAGUCAGACACAGAAAGACAAAUACCUUAUGAUCUCACUUGUAUGUGGAAUCUGAAAGUAGAAACAAAACAAAAAGCCAAGCUCAUAGAUACAGAAAACUGAUUAUUGAUUGCCAGAGGCAGGGGGUUGGGGAUUGGCAAAAUGGAUGAAGAGAGUUCUGAGGAACAAACUUCCAGUUAUACAAUAAAUAAGUCAUGGGGACUUAAUGUACAGCAUGGUGUACAUUAGUCAAUACUGUUGUGUGUUUGAAAGUUGUUAAGAGAGUAAAUCUUAGAAGUUCUCAUCGCAAGAAAAAAAAAGUAUGUGAUUGUAUGUGGUGAUGAAUGUUAACUGGACUUAUUGUGGUGAUUAUUUCACAAUGCAUACAAAUAUUGAAUCAUUAUGUUGUACACCUAAAACUAACUUAAUAUUGCGUGUCAAUUAUACCUCAAUUGAAAACAGGAAGUUAGGGGAGCCUGGGUGGCUCAGUCGGUUAAGCGUCCAGUUUCAGCUCAGGUCAUGAUCCCACGGUCUGUGGGUUCGAGCCCUGCAUCGGGCUCUGUGCUGACAGCUCAAGAGCCUGGAGCCUGUUUCAGAUUCUGUGUCUCCCUCUCUCUCUGCCCCUCCCCAACUCAUGCUCUGUCUCGGUCUCUCUCAAAAAUAAAUAAACAUUAAAAAUUAAAAAAAAAAAAAAGAAAAAGAAAACAGGAAGUUAGUGGUGAAGAAAGGGUAAGGAGUAGGGCUGUCAAUAAAGGGGAACAUGGUGGGGGGGGAUAUGUGAUUUUAUAGAUGGGAAAGACUUGUACACAUCUGUAUAGUGAGGGGGAAGGUGAGGAAAUGUUGACAUUGCAAGAAAGAGGUGUUAAAUACAGGGAGAUCCAUCUUAAAGCUGGGGAAUUGGGCUGUGAAUCAGCCGUGGGAUACCCUGGCUUCCAAGAUUGAAGACAACUGGUGGGUACAGAUGUAUGUCCAGGUAAGGGAUGGUGGAGGAAAAAUUAGAGGCAGUUUAUACCUGAGAGCCUUAUUUUUUUUUUUUUUUGAUAUAUGAAUAGUGAUGUCAUUAGAUGAGGAAUGAAGAGGUAGGAGAGUAAUGAGGGUUCUGCACUGAAAGUCCCACAUCCUGCCCAGGAACCCCCUCAGUCCUGGGCAAACCUGACCUUUGGUCACUCUAAGGGUAGGGGUGAAAGAAAGGGCUUGAGGGGAGGAUUAAAUGUUAACACCACAGUGGAAAGCGGAAAAGAGGACUGUGACCAGAGCCCAGCAUCGAGGACUCAGAUGGAACCAGAGAGCAAGGGGCAGCAUUUUGCACGUGGCUGUGUGAUUUUCUUCGGCAGUGCCUAAGCAUUCUGAGUUGUGUUUCCAGGACAGUGCAUGUGAAUUCACUCAGAGGGAGAUGCGUGGGGAGGGCUUCUUGCAGCCCCAAGUAUGCAGUAUCAGAGGCCUCAUUCCAGGGUCAACAAAACAGUGAAACUCAGUGGCAAGGCUGCCAGAAAUAGCAUCACCUGUUGGUGGAAGAUUUUGAUGUCAGUGAUGCCCAAUGUCUCGGGUUCUUUACUUUUACAUAAUUGACAGAUGGCUGAGUUACAACAUUCUACAACGUAUUGAGGCACCUCUGAGAUACAGAUGUGUAUUCAUAAUACAUCUUCAUCUAGAAGAGUAACUGACUGUAGACUACAGUCGGUAACCAGUGUCCCGAGAUAAGAAGCAGAGAGCUAAAGGUCCUAUCCCAGCAUGAGCUCCGGGAUGUCCAGUUGCGGGCUCUAUCCACGUGUUCUGUGCCAAGCGUGCCAUGGGAAUAGUUGGCCUUUGUCAUGGGCUAAAUCAUAUACUUUUACACCUGGUAGCAUUUGCCCUUGUUGUUAGUUCUGGAAACAAAGAAAGAGGGAAAUAUAGGGUGGUCUAGCUGGUAACGGGGCAAAUUGGGCCCUGAGCUCCCAUAAGCAGACUCAAGUAAAUAUCUGAAGUAUCGCCUUUUCUUUUUGAACCAAAUGCAAUUAGAUAGCUCCCAAAUGGGUGAGAGGUGUUUUCUCUACCUUUUGUUCUAUAACCAGAGCAAGCCAUUGCCUCUAACUUACAGUAUGGAAUAGAAAUAGGGCACAAGGGGAACUCAAAUGACAUGGGUUUGGUGAAAAUCUGAAACUCGGCUUGGGUUGGGGAAGGCACUCAAAUCUCAUCUUGUUGGUUGCAGCUUGGGCCAAGACCUUGCACGAAUAGGCUGA
Molecule: long non-coding RNA, 16612 nt
Filed under: Lynx pardinus (Iberian lynx)
Lineage: Eukaryota; Metazoa; Chordata; Mammalia; Carnivora; Felidae
Source: RNAcentral